UUCCAUUAUGGUUUAUCAUAGGAUGUUGAAUACAGUUCCCUGUGCUGUACAGUAGGACCUUGUUGUUUACCAAUCCUAUCUAUAAUAGUUUGCAUUUGCUAAUCCUAAACUCCCAAUCCUUCCUUCCCCACCCCAUCUCCCCCUUGGCAACCAUAUGUCGGUUCUCUAUGUCUCCAACAGCAGAAUCUUUAUAAUUGAUAUCCCCAGUUAAGGAGAGCCUCCUUGGACGAGGGCUCAGCCCUCCUGCUUGCCUCACCUCUGUCUCCUGCUUAGAAUGAGAAGAUAGGGGGAGGGUUGGGAGUCUUUAGGGUCGAGAAAGAACCCUGUGGGUUGGUAGCUUCUAGUCUUGUAGUCUCCCUGGGACUAGCAAGUAGGUGAGAAAUGGAGUUGUGUUACUAACUGAGAUUAAGAAGAAAUGGUGCUCAGGACUUCCCUGGUGGUGCAGUGGUUAAGAACCCGCCUGCCAAUGCAGGGGACACGGGUUUGAGCCCUGGUCCAGGAAGAUCCCACAUGCCACGGAGCCACUAAGCCCAUGAGCCACAAAUACUGAGCCUGCACUCUAGAGCCUGCGAGCCACAACCACUGAGCCCAUGUGCCACAACUACUGAAGCCCACGCGCCUAAAGCCUGUGCUCCGCAACAAGAGAAGCCACGGCAAUGAGAAGCUCACAAACUGCAAUGAAGAGUACCCCCCGUGUGUGGCACGCAAAGGGACACCGUGUUUACAAAGGCAUGAUCAACAUCUCAGCGCCCAUUCUGUGUGUCCUUGAACGGCUAAAGGUGAAUAGGGCUGCCCCCCACCCCCACCCCCUCCGGAGACCUGAGCGUGCCGUGGAGGGAGUGCAAGCUUUCUCAACCGCAGCCUCCUCCUGCGGCUGCGAAGGAGCUGCCCUUUCGGGCACAUCCACCCCUUACAUCUUCCCACCCCAGGCACUGAGGACUCUGCCUUCUUCUCGUCCUCCCCCUCCUCCCUAACCCACACCAGGAGGAUCUGAUAACCAGUCAUUUACACUAGAUAACUGAUAGUCCGGUUACACUGUAACUGGACCGCCUUCCACCGAGGUGCUGCCUCUACCGGUAUUGACUUGUUCCGACUUUUAUCUCCGAAUGGGGCCGACAGGCUCCCGGCCCUGUGCCUCUCCGACUUCCACCGAGGCUCCCUAAGGACAGGGAGUCCUGACCGCGUCCCCGCAGGGGCCGAUGUGCUCAGUGGGCGCAGCGUCUUUAAAUACAUGCCAUAGAUUUUUAGUCAUUCUUAGAAUUAAUCACGGGUACAGCACGGAAACUCUGACGGGAUACAGACAAUGCUGUGAUGGGAGAAAGAUGCGCGGCGGGGCGCGGGGGCGGAUUGAUCUGUCGGGUGUCGGUUCCCGUCCUUCCCUGAGGGGAGGUGUGUCACUAUCCAGAGCUGACAUGUAAAAAAUAGUCAUACUAAAUAAAGGUUUAAACAUA
Molecule: long non-coding RNA, 1451 nt
Organism: Orcinus orca (killer whale)
Lineage: Eukaryota; Metazoa; Chordata; Mammalia; Artiodactyla; Delphinidae
Exons: 2
Source: RefSeq, a predicted model, not a curated record